This is a non-coding RNA of Megalobrama amblycephala (Wuchang bream), 73 nucleotides long. Lineage: Eukaryota; Metazoa; Chordata; Actinopteri; Cypriniformes; Xenocyprididae. The record is from the annotation of a RefSeq genome assembly.
GCCAAAAUAGCUCAGUUGGGAGAGCAUCAGACUGAAGAUCUAAAGGUCUCUGGUUCAAACUUGGGUUUUGGCA